This is a long non-coding RNA of Capra hircus (goat), 1153 nucleotides long. RefSeq lists it as uncharacterized. NCBI's taxonomy places the organism in Eukaryota, Metazoa, Chordata, Mammalia, Artiodactyla, Bovidae. The transcript has 6 exons. The record is from RefSeq and is a predicted model, not a curated record.
ACAGAGUGUUGAGCAGAGUUCCCUGUGCUAUACAGUCGGUCCUUGUUGGUUAUCACAUGGAUUCUUGAUCUGUGCUGUCUGUCAUACCCCUCUGCUGUCCCCGCACCCCAAGGACAGGCUGUGGGUGGGGGAUGCUGUGUCCCCACUCGGGCAGCAGGCUGGGUGAGGACAAUGAAAGCCCGAGGUAAGGAGGGAAGGUGAGGAGCGAGGGCGCCAGCUGAGGGGCCAGGCAAGUGCCAGGACGAUGUGACAGGCACCCAGAAAUCCUUGGAAUGAUCCCCAGGAGCAGGGGUCCCCAACCUCUGGGCUGUGGACUGGUACCUCCUGUCGGAUCAGUGGCUGCAUUAGAUUAUUUAUUAGAAAUAAACUGCACUAGAAAUAUAAUACACUUGAAUCAUCCCCAAACCACCCCCUCCCCGGUCCAUGGAAAAAUUGUCUUCCUUGACAGUUGAGGAAGGGUUGGGGGCCACCGCCUAGGAGCACUGGACUGCUGGCAGGGAGGUUCACAGCUGAGGAUUCUCAUUUGGUUUUGAAGGGAAGGACCACCCCAGCCGAUUGGCCAACCUCACUAGCUCGCCACGUGACAUGGGGUAUUUGUAAUACCCUGCAGGGUGCUGGGCAGCUGGCAGCGGAAAAGUUUGUUAGCAGCACUGACUGGGAAGCUCUCCAGCUUGACUUUGCCACUUGCUUCCUAUGGAGCCCCUGACCGACACCAGAAAGUACCGUACAUUCACUUCAGUACGCUUAAGUGGAAAUACGCGUUUGGAUUUACAGACAGGAGUCCUGGAAAGUUUUCCCAGAGCCCAGAGCACCUCAUUCCUGAUCUCCACCCUCCACUCCUCUCAGGCUGUGCUGAAGGGCUCUGGCUUCAGCCACCAGCGUCCCUCCCGGGAGAGAUCACAGAACCGAAGCAUACAAGUGAAAGAUGGCGGGGACCAGCCCCCCAAGCCAGCACCGUGGAGAGACGGCUUCCACCCUGCUUGCUCCAGCUUUAACAGAGUCUAGAAUGCUUACAGGGCUCCCUGGAGGACUGGUCAGGCCUUGGCAGGACCUCACUGCCACCUCGUUGUCCCAGAUGGAGACCUGGAAGAGCCAGCCUGAGAGCGAGAGUACAUCAUGAGAAACGCUGGGCUAGAUGAAGCACAAGCUGGAA